Molecule: long non-coding RNA, 464 nt
Organism: Helianthus annuus (common sunflower)
Lineage: Eukaryota; Viridiplantae; Streptophyta; Magnoliopsida; Asterales; Asteraceae
Exons: 3
Source: RefSeq, a predicted model, not a curated record
CACAAUUUUGGGCCCAAUUUUUUUUACGCCCGAGGCCUAAAUUUUUUUGAGAGUUUUUCGGGACGGCUCUGCAAUAGCAACUAGAAAUUCAGCCAAUUGAGGAUGAAUUAGAAGCAAAUUCUUGUGCAUGUGAUGAGAUUCAUAUCUAAGAGUUCUCUACCUAAGGGAUUAAGGAAGAAAGCUCCAGUCAUUCCGGAUCGCAAACAAACAACGGUAAAGGUAAGGCAACUUGAUCGAUGGCACUACUUGGAUCGAACACACUCAUGAUGCACGCUUCCGCGAAGAUCCUAGUUAUGGUUUAAACUUUUGGUUAAAUGUUUUUGUUAAAACGGGUCUUUUGUAUGUAAGUUAAUCCGGUAGUGGUUAGAUGUUAAACUUGUAGUUAAAGACUUGGUUAAUAUUUAUGAAAUAUUUGGGGUAUAAACUCUUUUGUAACUAUUUUGUUAGUUAAUAUGAAGUUAAAU